RNAcentral lists this long non-coding RNA (428 nucleotides) under Macaca mulatta (Rhesus monkey). Its description in RNAcentral is "lncRNA (ENSMMUG00000050338.1)". Lineage: Eukaryota; Metazoa; Chordata; Mammalia; Primates; Cercopithecidae. The record is from RNAcentral.
CAGUUCUUCUUGGUCAUCUCUACUAGUUUCGAUUUAUUCCCUAACUUGAGGGAGAUGACUGCAGUAGCUGCUGCAGAGUUGGUGACUGACUUCUUUGGAGGCAAUCUUGUUUAUGUUUGGACACAGAAUCACCACUGCUUCGUGCCUGCUGUUCCUUCUAAUUGCUUCACACUAUCGGCAUAUGACUACACUGUACCUCCUCAAGAAUUGGAAUAUUAUCAAGAACAUGGAUACUCAAAAGUCAGUUCUGUGCCCUGUAAAGAAGAAUUUGAGGAGCUUAAAUAGCCUGCUGCUUUGAUCUCAUCUGUCCCUUAGGUUCUCUAAACAGAUUUUAUGACUUUCAAAUUUGGGUAUUUCAAUAGACGUUUCUAGUUUUUGUUACAUCAUCUUUGAAAAAUGCUUGCAAGAUGAAUAAAUUUACAUUCAGC